RNAcentral lists this long non-coding RNA (255 nucleotides) under Lathyrus oleraceus (garden pea). RNAcentral's name for it is "Pisum sativum (pea) long non-coding RNA (PSAT_LNC036756)". Lineage: Eukaryota; Viridiplantae; Streptophyta; Magnoliopsida; Fabales; Fabaceae. The record is from RNAcentral.
AAAGUCCUAAUGCUAGUUGAUUGAAAAAUUAAUAUGAGUAUGGAUGAGAUUAGGUCACUCCUUUUGCAUAUUUUUUGUGUGUGAUAUGUUUAAUGAGCAUAGUUCAUAAUACUGUAACACCCCAAAAUUUGCCCUCCUCAUUCAUGCAUUCAUUUAGCAUUUCAUAUUGCAUUUCAUCAUGUCAAUCAGAAUUAGAUCCAAGAAACUUUUUUUAAAAAAAAAGAAGAAAAAAAAAUUAAAAAAAAUUAAAAAAAA